CUAUAAGCUAGAAAUGUAGAGUUGGCCAAAGAGAGGUUAAAAUGGAUGAAUAAGGGUGCCUCGAAACCAACCACAGCUUAAAGAUCAGCUUACAGCUGAAGUGAAGAUCAACUUACAGCUUACAGCUAAAGACGAUGAAAAGUGUGAGGAUAAAAUAAGGUCCUGAACUGUGUGAAUAAAAUACUAUUGCACGCGAUUCUGAACCCUGACCUGAAAUAGAACACAUCUCCAAAGAAAUAAGGAAAGAAACAUAGAGAAGAGUGGAGAGAGAAGAAACUGAAAUAAA
Molecule: long non-coding RNA, 286 nt
Filed under: Rhinopithecus bieti (black snub-nosed monkey)
Lineage: Eukaryota; Metazoa; Chordata; Mammalia; Primates; Cercopithecidae
Description: lncRNA (ENSRBIG00000046785.1)
Source: RNAcentral